UCUCUUCCAAUGCAAAUCCAAAGAAUGAGGGGUAAGGAGGAUGUCAAGGUGUGAUCCUAAAGGCAAAGCAUAUGAUGAGAUAGUACGAGGGAUCUUAGGGUCAGAAUUGAGGUCUUACACUAUGGAAAACUUUUUAUUCACUUUACAAUUGCAAAAUACUGUGAAUUACAAUGUUAUGAAUAUUUUAUUCACUUCCUUACAAAAAUAAGGGUUACUCCCUCUAUUUAUAGAUUUAGAUUAACUUGGACCUCAAACCAAAACCCAAAAUAGCUAACACCACUAAAAUAGACAUAAGUCAAAAUCCUGUGGGACACAAGAAAUUAGAAUUCAACAAUCUGAGCCAUGCUCAUAUCCGAUGCACACAAACACUUCAACGUGAACCACCGCAAGUUCUCCUCCAACUACCAUGAAAUCGAAAACGCACGGAGCUUAUGAAAAAUACAUCGCCGCCGAAAAACGUGUAUUCACCGGAAACCACAAACCCAUCCACCACAACGUCGCACACAUCACCGCUACUGGAAACGAGUCGUGUAUGCCGUCGUUGAUUGGGUAUUUCUUUUCUAUCAUUCGUUUUCUUUCUCUUUUGUUGUUUUUUUUGGAAUUUGUUGGUUUUGUUUGAACGAAGAAAGAGAGGAAUUUGGUAUCAUGCGAGAAGAAAACGUCUUUCAUUUUUCGGAUCUAUUUCAAAGGGAGAAUAUCAUCGUAUAAUUAGUGAAAGAGAAAGCAAACACUCUCUCUUAUUCAUUAUUUAAUUUCCUUUUUCAUUUUUAAUAUUUAGUGAGAAUAUGUUCUUAGAAUAUGCUUAGGAUAUGGUGUCAUGUGUAUCUCUUU
Molecule: long non-coding RNA, 831 nt
Filed under: Lathyrus oleraceus (garden pea)
Lineage: Eukaryota; Viridiplantae; Streptophyta; Magnoliopsida; Fabales; Fabaceae
Description: Pisum sativum (pea) long non-coding RNA (PSAT_LNC025817)
Source: RNAcentral